This 253-nucleotide ribosomal RNA is filed under the name uncultured bacterium. RNAcentral's name for it is "partial 16S ribosomal RNA". It matches the Rfam family "Bacterial small subunit ribosomal RNA", at positions 524 to 776 of the family's 1533-position model. The record is from RNAcentral. RNAcentral also lists the same sequence under 1 other name.
UACGAAGGGGGCUAGCGUUGCUCGGAAUUACUGGGCGUAAAGCGCACGUAGGCGGAUCCUUAAGUCGGUGGUGAAAUCCUGAAGCUCAACUUCAGAACUGCCUUCGAUACUGGGGACCUUGAGUUCGGGAGAGGUGAGUGGAACUGCGAGUGUAGAGGUGAAAUUCGUAGAUAUUCGCAAGAACACCAGUGGCGAAGGCGGCUCACUGGCCCGAUACUGACGCUGAGGUGCGAAAGCGUGGGGAGCAAACAGG